This 109-nucleotide ribosomal RNA is filed under the name uncultured bacterium. Its description in RNAcentral is "partial 16S ribosomal RNA". It matches the Rfam family "Bacterial small subunit ribosomal RNA", at positions 1392 to 1500 of the family's 1533-position model. The record is from RNAcentral.
GCCCGUCCACACCAUGAGAGUUGGGAAUACCCGAAGCCUGUGAGCUAACAUUAAGAGGCAGCAGUCGAAGGUAGAAUCAAUGAUUGGGGUGAAGUCGUAACAAGGUAUC